GAAAGGCAGAAGGGCACUCCUCCAAUGGGAGCCGGGGAGCCGUCGGUAGCGGCGUAGGCCCGUGCCCCUGCUCGCGCUGCAGCCCGUGGAAGGGUUCCGUCCAGUGUAUCCUUCAGAUCUUGCUGUAGGCCUCUCGUAUCUGUGCGCGCGCGGCAGGGGCGGCGGCGGCGACGGCCGGAGGUGUACGGUCAGCGGGUUGCGGAGGAUCGUGCGGGUAGCAAAGGGAGGCCGAGUGCUCCUGCGGCUCCCAGACGGCAACCAGGUGUAAAUCCAAACUGCUUCCAACUCAAGGCAAGUAACAGCCCACGGUGUUCUGGCAGGAAAACAUCAGCUAAGAAAGGAAACUGGGUUCUAUGGCUUGGACUUUCCAACUCUGACAGACCGGCAGGACAGAAACAACUGGUUCAGGAGCCCUUGCCAGCCUCUAGAGAAAUCCCAGAACACAGCCCUGACACACUAAUACCCUGCACAUACUGGAGACUGCUGGCCACGCAUACUCACCAAGCCACAGACUUGUCUUCCACAAGCACGUUCUUACCUCAGCCACAAAGUGGCCAAGCCACAUGUACUAAAGGUUGAAAUCAGAGACAUAUACAGGGUAUUAAAUACAUACCAAGGGGAACAGUUAACUUGAAUAGAAAGUCAAAAUCGGCAACAAGUCUACAAUCCAUUGCUGAUAUCAGAUACAAGCUUCAAGGACAACUUUGUUUUUUAUUUUUGUUUAUUUAUUUUUUUUUUUUUUGAGACGGAGUCUCACCCUGUUGCCCAGGCUGGAGUGUGCAGUGGUGCAAUCUCGGCUCACCACAACCUCCGCCUCCCAGGUUCAAGCGAUUCUCCUGCCUCAGCCUCCCCAGUAGCUGGGAUUAUAGGCGAAUGCCACCAUACUUGGCUAAUUUUUGUAUUUUUAGUAGAGACGGGGUUUCAGCCUGUUGGCCAGGCUGAUCUCGAACUCCUGACCUUGUGAUCCACCCGUCUCAGCCUCCUAAAGUGCUGGGAUUAUAGGCGUGAGCCACCACGCCUGGCCACAAAUUUCUUUUUGAAGGCUUAUUUCAGUUUCGUUAGGCUAGCAUGAGGUGUAUGCAUUUGCCAGGGUUAAAUUUAUACUGCUGAAUUAACCCAUGCAACAAAUGCUGCACGUCUGCUCACAGUCCAUUUAAAGGCAUUUGUGGUGGACGAUGGAGGGGCCAGACUCGUCAUACAUACCUAAUUGCUAAUCCACAUGCUCGCAGUCCAUUUAGAGGCAUUUGCAGUGGAUGAUGGAGGGGCCACAUACCUAAUUGCUAAUCCACAUCUGCUGGAAGGUGGACAGUGAGGCCAGGAUGGAACCACCAAUCCACACCGAGUACUUGUGCUCUGGGGGCGUGAUGAUCUUGAUCUUCAUGGUGCUGGAUGCCAGCGCAGUGAUGCCAGGGCACAUGGUGGUGCUGCUGGACAGCACUAUGUUGGCAUACAGGUCUUUGCAGAUGUCCACGUCACACUUCAUGACGGAGUUGAAGGUGGUCUUGUGGAUGCUUCAGGAUUCCAUGCCCAAGAAGGAAGGCUGGAACAACACCUGCAGACACCAAAACCACUUGUUGCCGAUGGUGAUGACCUGACCUGGCCAUCAGGCAGCUCGUAGCUCUUCUCCAGGGAGGAGGAGGAUGUGGCAGUGGUCAUCUCCUGCUCGAAGUCCAGGGCGACGUAGCACAGCUUCUCGUUGAUGUCGCGCACAAUCUCCUGCUUGGCCGUGAUGGUGAAGCUCGGUCUGGAAGCUCCGAGUUUAUCUUGGGACCUCAAGAGGAGAGGAUCACCCAGUUCACAGGUAUUUGAGGAUACAAACGCAUUGCUGGGCUCAGCUUUAAAAGUCUUAUCUGAAAUUCCUUGUGAAACAGAGUUUCAUCAAAGCCAAUCCAAAAGGCCUAUGUAGAAAUAACCAUUCUUGCUGCACUUUAUGCAAAUAAUCAGGCCAAAUAUAAGACUACAGUUUAUUCACAAUUUGUUUUUAUCAAAAAUGAGGACUAGAGAGAAAAAUGGUGCUCCAAAGCUUAUCAUACAUUUGUCAUUAAGUCCUAGUCUCAUUAAUUGUUUUCAAGCUUUUUGCCUACAUUUUAGACUAACCCUGCUUAUUCCUGUGAAUCAAGUAGUGAUCUCCUGCAGCUUGGAAGAAAAAAUAAGGGAUGGGUAAUGUAAAAAUCUGGAUCAAUAUACUGGUUCUGGGCAAUUAUCCUGCAAAUUCUGCCUGGUAAUAAAAGUGAGUAGGGUGCCCAUAACCCGGAAGUUUCUUUGUUUAGGAAAAUUAAAACAAGGAACUUCAUAGACCCCCCAAAGGGGAAUUCUACAUCUUGACAAGUAAAAUUUUAGAUGGAAAUUAUCUACCACACCACACUUAUGGAAAUUGCUAUACUCACUCUAUUAUUUGCAAAAGGGUUAUACACAGUAGUACCUUCUAACUGAAAUAUUAAACAGGGAGUUUCCAUCGCUGUAGUAUUUUGCUUAAUUAUUAUCCUUAUAGCAGGGAUAAUAGUUACUAACAAAAAGGAAGCAUGAAAGUUUUACUAUCACUGAGUCUGGUAGGACUUUUUAUUGGGUUUAGUGAUGCAGUUUUAAAUGAAACAUGCUGCUUUUGGAUUAAUACCUCUAGUAAAGGAAAAUUUACAGGUACUUAAAAAUCAAAUCAAAAUUAUUGACAGGCUCAGGAAAAAUGCCAGCUUCAGCCCUGAAUGGCUACAAACCCUCUUUACUAAAUUCCAGUCUUCUUUAUGGAAUUGGUUAACACCUUUAUUAAGCCCUCUCUUGCUUAUAUGUCUUGUAUUGAUAUUUGGACUCUGUAUACACAAUACUAUAACUCGAACUGUUUCUUCUCGCCUAGAAGCAAUCAAACUCCAAAUGGUGCUGUAAACUGAACCACACAUGGACAGGCCAUUCUUCCGAGGACCCUUAGAUCGAUCCCAGGGGGAGCCCUAGCUGCUGUUCCCCAUUCAACGCCCCUUUUCAGCAGGAAGUAGCCAGAAGGAGUCGCCGCCCAAAAUCCCCUAACAGCAGUUAGUGUGGCAUCUCCACAGGGAGUAAUGUUGUAGGAGUUACUAAGAAAUUAUUUUAGGCAGAUAGAGAGGAAAAGGGGUCCUAGGGAAGUUUUCAUUUUUUAAAGCAUCUCUGGAAAAGUUUCUUGUAAAGCCCGGGCUCUUAGAGCCAGGCUGCCAACCUUUGAUAUGCAAAUGCAAGCCAUUAGAAACUGGGUCCACCCAGGCCAGGUGUGGUGGCUCACGCCUGUAAUCCCAACACUUCGGGAGGCCUAGGCAGGUGGAUCACCUGAGGUCAGGAGUUCAAGACCAGCCUGGCCAACAUAGUGAAACCCCACCUCUACUAAAAAUACAAAAAACUAGCCGGGUGUGCUGGCGCGUGUCUGUAAUCCCAGCUACUCGGGAGGCUGAGGCAGGAGAACCGCUUGAACCCAGGAGGUGGAGGUUGCAGUGAGCUGAGAUCGCACCACUGCACUCCAGCCUGGGCGACAGCAAGACUCUGUCAAAAAAAAAAAAAAAAAAAAAACUAGCCAGGUGUAGUCCCAGCUACUUGGGAGGCUGAGAUGGGAGGAUCACCCUCGACUGGGGAAGUUGAGGCUGCAGUGAGCUGAAAUCGCACCACUGCACUCCAGCCUGGGUGACAGACUGAGACCCUGUCAAAUAAAUAAUGUAUGUAUGUAUAUAUGUAUGUGUGUAUGUUAACCUCAUCCUAAAACAUCCUCACAGAACAUCCAGAAUAAUGUUUGACCAAAUAUCUGGGCACCAAUGGCACAUUCAAGUUGACACAUAAAAUUAACCCUCACAAUACCAUACUAUACAACUUUUGGAGUGAAGCUGGAAUGUCAUCGCAUUUCCAAGACUAACUCAGUGUCCACAAAUGAUGCUUAAGUCAUGAGGAUCAUCUCAGAUUUGGAUUUGGAUGCCUGACAAGCCCUCACUCUUCAGCCUAACUGUCUGAUUUGCAUGGAAAAUUAUCAAGAGAAGCAACAAUGCCAAGCAGACUAUUCCAGGUCAAAAUAGUCAAAUUAAUAAUUCAUAAAUUAUUGUAUGUUUUGAAGGUAUCACAAAGUUAAAGAAAAGUUGCAAGAACAGUACAGAUAACUUUUUUCCUGAACCAUUUGAGAGUAGGUUGCAGACCUGGUGCCCCAUCAUUUCUGAAUAUUUUAGUGUGCAUUUUCUACAAACGACAUUUUCCAGCAUAACCACAAUGCACCCAUCAAUGUCAUGAAAUUAAUGUUGGUACAUUACUACCACCUAGUCCUCAGACCCUAUUCAAAUCACAUCAGUUAUCAUAAUUCUUAUAAUUUAUAGCAAAAUGAUCCAAACUAGGAGCAUGCAUUGCAUUUUUAUGAAUUUUUAAAACAAUUAAGUCUGUGUAGUGAGUGAAGCCACAGUGAUAGGAAGAUAUAAAGGCUUUGCAUCUAGAAUUUGUUCUGAAAACCCUGAGAGUCAAGUAGUACAUUAUUUCAUUUACUGUUUUACACAGAGAAGCUCUCAUUUUUAAGAGUUUGCCUUUCUGAUUUCCACCGUAAAUGAUAGUAUCAGUAUCAUACUCAGAAUCUAAUUACAUACAAGGCACUAACCUCUCACCUGCUUUCAGCUUUGUGUAAAGACAAGGGAUCAAAACAUCCCUCUCUGCUAUUUCAUACUUAAGUGUGGGAGCUGAUCCAAAGGAAGAAUAGUUUCAAAAGUUUGUGAGCAAAAAAAUUUAAAAGGUGAAGAUUUUUUCCUUGAAUGAUUCUCACCUGGCAGAUCUAUGGAAAGAUUAGCUGACUCUUUGGAUCCCUGAAUAUAGUUAAUAGAAAUUUGGAAGGACCAUGUCAAAAUUAACUAAUGUGAACUGACAAAGAUUUGGGGUUCAAAGCAAAAAUUAAACUUUGGAAAAGUGAGCAAGUACUUAAUCAGAAACAAAAAAAAAAAGGAAAAGUUAGGUGAAAAUGGUUUCCAGGUGUUGUUGCUCUUACAGUUUGAAUCAUAAAGAAAAGUUAUUAAAAGUCUGCUGUAACAAACCAUCAUAGACUGGGUGACUUAUAAAGAACAAAAAUGUAUUUCUCACAGUUCCAGAGGCUGGGAAGUCUAAGAUCAAGGCAUCAGCAGAUUCAGUGUCUGGUGAGGGCCCACUUUCUGGCUCACAGAUGGCACCUUCUCACUGUCUCCCCACGUGAUGGGGCAAGGGGUCUCUCUUGGUACUCUUUUAUUAAGGGCACUAAUCCCAUCCAUGACCUAUUCACCUCCCAAAGGCCCUACCUGCAGAUACCAUCGUAUGGGGGAUUUGAUUUCAGCCUGUGAAUUUGGGGGAAGAGGGACAAACAUUCGUUUUGUAGCAAAAGGAGUAGAGUAACAUCUGCCAGUAACUGGAGGAAAGAAUUGUUCUUUUAAAACUAUUAAAUUGUUCAACAGGAUUUAAAUGAUUUCAGGAAUGAAAUGGAAAUCCUGGUAAUGGGUGGAAACACAGGUAAAUUCUCCUUUUCCACUUACCACCACCUGUCUGAAUAACAAUCAUUUCUCAUUAAUAGUCAAGAAUUUGAAGAGAUCAUGAGUAAAAAGUCUUGAUCAGAAAUUGUGUAUAGCUGUUUCCAGCAUAAAACCUUACAUAAAAUGCAUGUUCAUAGAAGAUGCUCAAGUAUGUCAUGAAAAAUACGAAGUUUAUUUAAAUAUUUAUACAAAUUAAAGACUUACUGUAUUCUCUAACAGCGCAUAUUUUCUUUCUUGUAAUAACGAUAUGAAAUAAAUACAAAGUAACACGUUUUUA
Molecule: RNA transcript, 5751 nt
Organism: Symphalangus syndactylus (siamang)
Lineage: Eukaryota; Metazoa; Chordata; Mammalia; Primates; Hylobatidae
Gene: KANTR
Gene name: KANTR integral membrane protein
Source: RefSeq, a predicted model, not a curated record